Molecule: transfer RNA, 692 nt
Filed under: uncultured Gammaproteobacteria bacterium
Lineage: Bacteria; Pseudomonadati; Pseudomonadota; Gammaproteobacteria
Description: partial 16S-23S ribosomal RNA intergenic spacer
Rfam family: tRNA (bases 83-156)
Source: RNAcentral
ACGACUAACACCAUCCUUCAAGUGUUCACACAUUUGUCUUUAUCUUUACGUUGUUGCGACGUUACUUUCGGGUGCACCUUAUAGGCCUGUAGCUCAGUUGGUUAGAGCGCACCCCUGAUAAGGGUGAGGUCGGCAGUUCAAAUCUGCCCAGGCCUACCACAUCGUUUCAGCUCAUCGUUGUGAAUCGGCUUGCAUAGGUGACUAUGCGUCACCGCUCCACGCCUUGAUCUGAAUCAAUGUCCCCGUUGAAGUGCUUGAAGUAUAUGGGGCUAUAGCUCAGCUGGGAGAGCGCUUGAUUUGCAUUCAAGAGGUCCGCGGUUCGAUCCCGCGUAGCUCCACCACUUAUGGUAUGUCGCAGCGAAGUCAGUGAAGAGCACACGCUCGUGUGUUGUUCACUGGUUUCGGCAACCAGUUGUUCUUUAACAAGGUAAAUUAAGCUGAGUCUUUGAAUUAGAAAUCAGCAUUUGGGUUCGCUCAAGUGGUGAGGAUAAUUCUUAGAUACAAGUUUUCAGGCACGGUCUCAAUUCCCGUGUCUGUAAAUCGAGUUUUUAAAAUAUACAUACUGUGACUUAAGCGUCACAACAUCCGGCGCGCUGAUGCACUAACCUUUGCAUCAGUGUUCUAAAAGUACCUAGCCUUUGCACAAGGGGGUUAGGGAAAUGUCUUCUUGAGCUCUUCGGAGCGGCAUCUUC